AAAACUAUUAACAACGGAAAUUGAAGUGUUUGGAAAGGGUGAAACCUCAAAGAAGAAGAAGAAGAAGAAAAACAAGGAAGAUGUUAGGGUUAGGGUGCUUAAACCUCAAUCGUUUUUCUCACUUUCCCUCCACUCCUGCUCUUCCACCCCCUGGUUCAGAUUUACUGAAGGUUGCUUCUAGGAGAUUUGCCUUAUCAGUAACUAAGACACAAUCCCCAAUCACUACGACACAACCUGCUUCAACCGCAGUAAUUGAAAUAGAUAAUCCGGCCAGUGUAAGAAGGCAGUUGGCCAAUCUGUUUGACUUGUCUCUGAGGGCAACGGUGCCUGAUGAAUCAGAUGUUGUGCCGUUAGUUGAUGCUUGCGCUGUAAAAGGCGGCGGUGUAAAAUUUGGAGAUUAUCAAUGUAAUAAUGCAAUGGGUAUAUGGUCUAAGAUAAAAGGAAAGCAGACCGGAUAUAAGGGUCCCCCAGCAAUUGGGCAGGCCAUCAUUAACAAUCUUCCUCCAUCUGAAAUGAUAGAUUCAUGCUCUGUAGCUGGUCCUGGAUUUGUCAAUGUUGUCUUGUCGAAGAAAUGGAUAGCACAGAUAUUACAGAGGAUGCUAGUGGAUGGUAUUGAUAGGUGGGCACCUCGACUUCCAGUCAAGAGGGCUAUGGUUGAUUUUUCCUCACCAAAUAUAGCAAAGGAAAUGCAUGUUGGUCACUUGAGAUCUACCAUUAUUGGUGACACAUUAGCUCGUAUGCUUGAAUUUUCACACGUGGAAUGUGUAAUCCGUAGAAACCAUAUUGGUGACUGGGGAACACAGUUUGGGAUGCUGAUUGCAUACCUCUUUGAGAAAUUUCCAAAUUCAAAAGAUGUUAGUGAAGCAGCCAUUGGAGAUCUUCAGGCACUCUAUAAGGCCUCAAAAGUUAGGUUUGAUAGUGAUCCUGAAUUUAAGCUGAGGGCACAACAGGCUGUGGUCCGCCUCCAGAGUGGAGAAAUUGAGUAUCGCAAGGCCUGGGAACAAAUUUGUGAUGUUAGUAGGGCUGAAUUCAACAAAGUUUAUCAACGCCUUGGAAUUCAAUUGGAAGAAAUGGGAGAGAGCUUCUAUAAUCCAUAUAUUCCUGGGGUUUUAGAGAAACUGGAUAAUUUAGGACUGAUUGAAGAUAGUGAUGGGGCUCGUGUGAUUUUUGUUGAGGGUGUAAACAUACCACUUAUUGCUGUGAAAAGAGAUGGUGGCUACAAUUAUUUUUCAACUGAUCUAGCAUCACUUUGGUAUCGUCUAAAUGAAGAAAAACUUGAGUGGAUUGUAUAUGUUACAGAUAUUGGGCAGCAGCAACACUUUGAUAUGCUAUUUAAGGCCUUUAGGCGUGCAGGUUGGUUGCCAAAAGAUGAGAAUGCAUUUCCAAAAUGUACUCAUAUAGGUUUUGGUCUUGUUCUUGGGGAUGAUGGGAAACGAUUUCGGAGUCGCAGCAGUGAGGUUGUUCGAUUGGUUGAUUUGCUUGAUGAAGCUAAAAGGCGCUGUAAAAUUGCCAUUCUCGAACGUGAUACAGCUAAAGAUUGGUCUGAGGAGGAGAUUGAGAAAACAUCUGAGGCAGUUGGUUAUGGGGCUGUUAAGUAUGCUGACUUGAAGAUCAACAGAUUUACAAAUUACACAUUCAAUUUUGAUCAGAUGCUUAAUGAUAAGGGGAAUACUGCUGUUUAUUUGCUGUAUGCACAUGCUAGGAUUUGUUCCAUCAUCAGGAAAUCUGGUAAAGACAUAGAAGAAGUAAAGAGAAAUGGUAAAAUAGUGUUGGAUCAUGAAGAUGAGCGUGCAUUGGGGCUUCAUUUGCUACAAUUUCCUGAGACUGAGAUAUCAAGAUUCAAGACUGAAGCGGCUGGGAUUCCUGCACAUUAUUUUACAAUCCAAAGAUACUUACCUCAUAUAUGGGUUUUUUGUUAGAGACGGACUUUUAUAUUAGCCAACAUGGAGGCACAUGCCUCAGUCAGUCUCAAAAUUUUUAAUACUAUUAUAGUAUUAGGUUGUCAUUUAAGUUUUAUCAUCUUUAACUUUGACCUCACCACUCAAAGGCUCCUCACCCAAAAUUUUCUGGCCUGUCAUUGCUUCAUUUACUGUUUUUUUUUCAGGUUUUUGAGGAGGCAUGCACCAAUUUGUUGCCCAAUCUGUUGUGUGAAUACCUGUAUAAUUUGGCAGAAAUCUUUUCGAAAAAAUUUUAUGCUAAUUGUCAGGUUGUUGGAUCGCCUGAGGAAACUAGUAGACUCUUGCUGUGUGAAGCAACGUUAAUUGUGAUGAGAAAGUGCUUUUAUCUCCUUGGAAUUGAGCCUGUUUACAAGUUAUGACCAUCUAAAGGAGUACAAGUGCAGUUUUUUUCACCAGACAUUUUUUAUAUGUACACAAUAGGAAGCUUCGAAAUUAAAAAUUUUCAGGCAAGUUAAAUUAUCUCUUCUAGGUCUUUCGUUUUGUUUAUUGUAUUUGAGGUGAAAAAAAGGAAAGUAGGGAAUAUUUUAUAGCAAUUUUGUUGACAAGGUCCCUUGAAAUUUAUUUCGAUGUUAUCAAGUCUAUAUUUCGUUUAACGUGUCCCAAGUAAAAUAAGAAAUGGGACAUUAUUGGAUUCUAGUGUUACCAAAUGAAAAAGGCAACUGUACCGAUCACUCUGCACUCUGAAUCUCAAAACAGGAUUAGUUUUGUUAAAGUUCGGAAUCAUGUUGUGGUAUUGAGCCUGCAAUUUCUUUUUGCAUGUUUAGUUUCUUGUUUUUUACACUUUACAAUUUAUUUCCUCAGUUUUGUUAUUUGAAUAUAAAAUAAAUUGAUACUGUAUAUGAUUAUAU
Abrus precatorius (Indian licorice) is the source of this 2806-nucleotide RNA transcript. It is a transcript of the gene named arginine--tRNA ligase, chloroplastic/mitochondrial-like, with no coding region annotated. The transcript is spliced from 18 exons. The record is from RefSeq and is a predicted model, not a curated record. Lineage: Eukaryota; Viridiplantae; Streptophyta; Magnoliopsida; Fabales; Fabaceae.